RNAcentral lists this long non-coding RNA (383 nucleotides) under Physcomitrium patens. RNAcentral describes it as "long non-coding RNA (PPAT_LNC013575)". The record is from RNAcentral. Lineage: Eukaryota; Viridiplantae; Streptophyta; Bryopsida; Funariales; Funariaceae.
ACAUCCAAAAUAUGAUAUAAAAAACUCUAAAUUCUUAUAUAUCUUUAUGAGAUAUUAUUCCUAAAUUUCAAAAACUCAUAUCUUCUAAUUAGACUAUUCAAACACACUCAAAUUUUACGUGAAGUAUUGAUGUACUUCUAACAACUAUCACAAAAAAAUUCAAUUGUAAAUUCGUUGCAGAUCUUAAGAUAUAACCAAAAUCCUAACAGUAGCUUCAAAUCCUAUUUUUUAUACACUCACAUGCAAUUUUCUUCAUAUCUCACAAAUUAAGCACUCAAAUGCUACAAAGUUCAUAUGUAUAGCUUCUUAACACAAUAAUUCAUCUUUUUUAACACAUUUGAACCAAAAAUUUGUCUAGAAACUCAAGAUAUGGCUCCAAUCAU